Molecule: long non-coding RNA, 624 nt
Filed under: Homo sapiens (human)
Lineage: Eukaryota; Metazoa; Chordata; Mammalia; Primates; Hominidae
Description: non-protein coding lnc-ANXA1-9:1
Source: RNAcentral
UGAAGGAAAGCUAUAUAGUGUUAAGAGAACUUAUAGAAGACAACCUGAUGUGGUUUAGGAGCUAAAGGAAGGAGACAGAUAAAAGAAAAUAUUUUUCUCUGAGAAAGUAAUGUUCAAAUUGGGCUCUAAGGAGUCAGGACAACCUCUGAAUUUGAAAGAAGGGAGAGAUAUUCUCAGCAGUAAGAACAUCAAUUACAGAGAACGUGUGAUGAUAAGAGGUGGCCUUAUUCGGCACCCCAGAGUUGGACAGAAAUUUUCUGUGCUCACUGGGAACUUGGCUCUGACUCUGGUUUCUCUGUCACAGAUUUUGGGGUUUUCUUUCACUGAGAAGGUAUGGCACUAGCAUGAUAUAACUCUUGCUGGAUAAAGAAAGCACAGGAGAAGCAGUAUAGUGCAGUGGUUAAGCAUAUAGGAUUUGGAUUAGACUCAGGUCAAGUUCAGACACUGUCACUCAUUAGUCAUGUGAACUUGGACAAAUUACUUAACCUCUCUAAGGCUCAGUUUCUUCAUCUGUAAAAUAGGUAUAGUGAUAGCAGCUAUUGAAUUUUUGUGUGUGCAGGAGAGGGGAAAAUUAUGGUAAAUAAUAAUUCCUCCCUUGUCCAACAAGAUUGUGAGCUCACCGGA